This 650-nucleotide ribosomal RNA is filed under the name uncultured bacterium. Its description in RNAcentral is "bacterial SSU rRNA". It matches the Rfam family "Bacterial small subunit ribosomal RNA", at positions 67 to 763 of the family's 1533-position model. The record is from RNAcentral.
CGAAGGCUUCGGCCUUAGUGGCGCACGGGUGCGUAACGCGUGGGAAUCUGCCCUUGGGUUCGGAAUAACAGCGAGAAAUUGCUGCUAAUACCGGAUGAUGACGUAAGUCCAAAGAUUUAUCGCCCAAGGAUGAGCCCGCGUAGGAUUAGCUAGUUGGUGAGGUAAAGGCUCACCAAGGCGACGAUCCUUAGCUGGUCUGAGAGGAUGAUCAGCCACACUGGGACUGAGACACGGCCCAGACUCCUACGGGAGGCAGCAGUGGGGAAUAUUGGACAAUGGGCGAAAGCCUGAUCCAGCAAUGCCGCGUGAGUGAUGAAGGCCUUAGGGUUGUAAAGCUCUUUUACCCGGGAUGAUAAUGACAGUACCGGGAGAAUAAGCUCCGGCUAACUCCGUGCCAGCAGCCGCGGUAAUACGGAGGGAGCUAGCGUUAUUCGGAAUUACUGGGCGUAAAGCGCACGUAGGCGGCUUUGUAAGUUAGAGGUGAAAGCCUGGAGCUCAACUCCAGAAUUGCCUUUAAGACUGCAUCGCUUGAAUCCAGGAGAGGUGAGUGGAAUUCCGAGUGUAGAGGUGAAAUUCGUAGAUAUUCGGAAGAACACCAGUGGCGAAGGCGGCUCACUGGACUGGUAUUGACGCUGAGGUGCGAAAGCGUG